AACCUGCCUGGUAGCGGGGGAUAACUAUUGGAAACGAUAGCUAAUACCGCAUAAGAGUAGAUGUUGCAUGACAUUUGCUUAAAAGGUGCAAUUGCAUCACUACCAGAUGGACCUGCGUUGUAUUAGCUAGUUGGUGAGGUAACGGCUCACCAAGGCAACGAUACAUAGCCGACCUGAGAGGGUGAUCGGCCACACUGGGACUGAGACACGGCCCAG
RNAcentral lists this ribosomal RNA (216 nucleotides) under uncultured Streptococcaceae bacterium. RNAcentral's name for it is "partial 16S ribosomal RNA". It matches the Rfam family "Bacterial small subunit ribosomal RNA", at positions 123 to 334 of the family's 1533-position model. The record is from RNAcentral. Lineage: Bacteria; Bacillati; Bacillota; Bacilli; Lactobacillales; Streptococcaceae.